UACGUAGGGUGCGAGCGUUGUCCGGAAUUAUUGGGCGUAAAGAGCUCGUAGGCGGCUUGUCGCGUCGGAUGUGAAAGCCCGGGGCUUAACUCCGGGUCUGCAUUUGAUACGGGCAGGCUAGAGUUCGGUAGGGGAGAUCGGAAUUCCUGGUGUAGCGGUGAAAUGCGCAGAUAUCAGGAGGAACACCGGUGGCGAAGGCGGAUCUCUGGGCCGAUACUGACGCUGAGGAGCGAAAGCGUGGGGAGCGAACAGG
Molecule: ribosomal RNA, 253 nt
Filed under: uncultured bacterium
Lineage: Bacteria
Description: partial 16S ribosomal RNA
Rfam family: Bacterial small subunit ribosomal RNA
Source: RNAcentral